UUGAUUCAUUUGAUAUGAUUCCACUCAGACAUGCCAUUACAACACAAGAGUUUAAAGGGUUCCCCGGCGGGCGCCUGGUUCCGGUGCGUCGGUCCCUCGCAGGACCUCCGCCCGGGGCGAAACGAUACCCGCCGAAGCAACGAGUUGGUAGUGGUUCACAGGGGAUGUGGGAGUUGUAAACUCGGUAAUGAUCCCUCCGCUGGUUCACCAACGGAGA
This 217-nucleotide unclassified non-coding RNA is filed under the name uncultured fungus. RNAcentral's name for it is "sequence contains ITS1". Lineage: Eukaryota; Fungi. The record is from RNAcentral.